CCACCUACCUGGCCGCGUUGUCCUAAGCGCUGGAGAGACACAGCCCUGCAAAGGAAUUCGUGGAAGUCUUGCAUCCAUUUUAGAAGGCGCGUAAAAUGAGACGACUGAGGGUAAGGGAAACGGGGAGACGUCAUCCAAGCUGCACGCAUCUGGUUUUGAUUGGGGCCGUAUUUUUAUGUUCAUCGUGCAGCUUUCGUUUUGCAAGGCUCUGGUGGCUGAAGGCAUGUCGGGGAUGCAGCUCUGUUCCCCACGGGCCGCGUACCGGCUGCCAUCCCUGAGACCGUGUCCCGUGCUUUUAUGAAAACGACAGCAAAGCCCCGUCGCCUCGUGUUUGCAGAGCCUUGAACAAAUCCUUUGUCGUGGUGCCCCCGCGUUUGGGGUGGCGAAGGGUUCAGGGUCUUAGUCGGGAAGGAUGGGGCUUGGAGGAACGCCAGGAUCACCCCCCACACACCCGCCCCAGGCGCUGUUCGGUAGGUUGAGCCCGGUUCAUCACAACGGCUGCUCAAAAGGCCCGGAAGACACACAAAGCACAGACUUGAAAGGAGAAGGUGGUGCUGUCGGUGGGGAUGAGCCUGGAAAGUUGUGUUUUUCACUGUGCGUUAUUUCCGUGAUGAGCUGUUGAUGGAACGUGCAUCGUGACCUGAGCGGACCACGAACGAAGCCACCUGAUCCCCCUCUCGUGGAAGAAAUGAUUCGUGUUCACCGGAGACUUGCCUGUGUGCACCCGAAUCAUCCCCAGCCUUGAUGAGAUCUCCACCAUGCUCGUCGCCGUCCAUGAGUCACGGUUAUUUUGUUGUUGGUGCUGGUGGAGGCCCCCGGGUGGAUGAGGGGAUGAGGUCAGCGUUCAUGGGGACUGAUGCUCCCGCUCCUUCCGUCCGCUGCUCAAGGACACACGUCCCGCUCCAUCUCCCUUCCUCUGACGUGGACACUUGCCUUCGGCAAUCCCAGCAGGACGGGGGCCCGUGAGAGCAAACGCUCUCCGUGCAUUUCCUCCGCACUCGGGAGAGACUCUGCUCCAUGCAGAAGGUCAAGCAGCCCGUGAUGCCCCUCCUGGGCCCUGCACACACACACACACACACACACACACACUGUCCCCGUUUUCAGCUCCUCCUGAUGCUGCAUCUUCUCCAGGUCCCGCCAGCUACUUGGGAGGCGACCUGCGUUUUUCACUCUGGCUAUUGGAAGACGUUCUCCUCCUUGUGUUUGGACGCCCACCGCCGUGUUCCUCAGAUGCAGCUUGGUUAUGUGUUUACGUUUCGUACCACGCAUUUUGAGUCGGAGAAGGAAAGUAUUUUCCAUGAACCUUGGAAAACGAGCCGUCGUUGUUUCUUCAGAUAUGACUCAGCCCUAGCUUUCCAAAAACACUCCUUCCUCCCCGGCGUGUUGGGAACGUGUUGUCCUUUGCUCCGUGACUUUUAAACUUGUCGUAUUUAGCAUUUUGUCUUUACUUCCCGGAGCUCAGAAUGAACCCCCCUGGCUUCCCCAUUGCUUUUUUUGUUUUGCUUUGUUUUAAUGAGUUCUUGGGGUUAUUUCAACAAAUAGAUGUACAUACACGUGCAUGUGUUUACAUAUGUGUGCACAUGCAUGCAUGCAAAAUUCGUGUGUAUAUACAUGUCUGUGUGUAUGUGUACAUGCAUCCGUAUACACAUAGAUCUAUGUUUAUAUACAUAUAUACGUACAAAUAUAUUUUAUUCUUUCUGAA
Molecule: long non-coding RNA, 1702 nt
Organism: Mirounga angustirostris (Northern elephant seal)
Lineage: Eukaryota; Metazoa; Chordata; Mammalia; Carnivora; Phocidae
Exons: 3
Source: RefSeq, a predicted model, not a curated record